RNAcentral lists this ribosomal RNA (374 nucleotides) under uncultured bacterium. RNAcentral's name for it is "bacterial SSU rRNA". It matches the Rfam family "Bacterial small subunit ribosomal RNA", at positions 524 to 898 of the family's 1533-position model. The record is from RNAcentral.
UACGAAGGGGGCUAGCGUUGCUCGGAAUUACUGGGCGUAAAGGGAGCGUAGGCGGACUGUUUAGUCAGAGGUGAAAGCCCAGGGCUCAACCUUGGAAUUGCCUUUGAUACUGGCAGUCUUGAGUACGGAAGAGGUAUGUGGAACUCCGAGUGUAGAGGUGAAAUUCGUAGAUAUUCGGAAGAACACCAGUGGCGAAGGCGACAUACUGGUCCGUUACUGACGCUGAGGCUCGAAAGCGUGGGGAGCAAACAGGAUUAGAUACCCUGGUAGUCCACGCCGUAAACGAUGAGUGCUAGUUGUCGGCAUGCAUGCAUGUCGGUGACGCAGCUAACGCAUUAAGCACUCCGCCUGGGGAGUACGGUCGCAAGAUUAAA